RNAcentral lists this ribosomal RNA (460 nucleotides) under uncultured bacterium. RNAcentral describes it as "partial 16S ribosomal RNA". It matches the Rfam family "Bacterial small subunit ribosomal RNA", at positions 338 to 795 of the family's 1533-position model. The record is from RNAcentral.
CCUACGGGUGGCAGCAGUGAGGAAUAUUGGUCAAUGGGCGCGAGCCUGAACCAGCCAAGUAGCGUGAAGGAUGACUGCCCUACGGGUUGUAAACUUCUUUUAUAAAGGAGUAAAGUGAGGCACGUGUGCCUUUUUGUAUGUACUUUAUGAAUAAGGAUCGGCUAACUCCGUGCCAGCAGCCGCGGUAAUACGGAGGAUCCGAGCGUUUUCCGGAUUUAUUGGGUUUAAAGGGAGCGUAGAUGGGUUGUUAAGGCAAUAGUGAAAGUUUGGGGGUGAAACGUAAAAUGGCAAUUGAUACUGGCAGUCUUGAGUACAGGUGAGGUAGGCGGAAUGCGUGGUGUAGCGGUGAAAUGCUUAGAUAUCACGAAGAACCCCGAUUGCGAAGGCAGCUUACUAACCUGCCACUGACAUUGAUGCUCGAAAGUGUGGGUAUCAAACAGGAUUAGAUACCCGGGUAGUC